UUUGUUACUUCAAACCAAUCGGACUUCGGUCUGACAUCAAGUGAUAUUGAACAAUUUAGCUGAUCGCACGGUCUAAGAACCGGCGGCAUAUCCUUCAAAUGUCUGCCUUAUCAACUUUCGAUGGUAGAUUAUGCGCCUACCAUGGUUGUAACGGGUAACGGAGAAUCAGGGUUUGAUUCCGGAGAGGGAGCCUGAGAAACGGCUACCACAUCCAAGGAAGGCAGCAGGCACGCAAAUUACCCACUCCCGGCACGGGGAGGUAGUGACGAAAAAUAACAAGCUGGUCUCAAUGAGUUCCAGCAUUGUAAUGGGAACAAUUUAAAUCUUUUAUCGAGGAUCUAUUGGAGGGCAAGUCUGGUGCCAGCAGCCGCGGUAAUUCCAGCUCCAAUAGCGUAUAUUAAAGUUGUUGCGGUUAAAAAGCUCGUAGUUGGAUCUAGGAUUAGGGCUACSGUCGUUCAGCUUGGACGUACUGUAUGCCCGACUCCUUUUCUCUAGUAUUCGAUUGUUGCUCUUAAAUGAGUGACUUUAGUUGCUGGAACUUUUACCUUGAAAAAAUUGRAGUGCUSAAAGCAGGUU
This 576-nucleotide ribosomal RNA is filed under the name uncultured eukaryote. RNAcentral describes it as "SSU rRNA". It matches the Rfam family "Eukaryotic small subunit ribosomal RNA", at positions 205 to 797 of the family's 1831-position model. The record is from RNAcentral.